Molecule: ribosomal RNA, 250 nt
Filed under: uncultured bacterium
Lineage: Bacteria
Description: partial 16S ribosomal RNA
Rfam family: Bacterial small subunit ribosomal RNA
Source: RNAcentral
UACGGAGGGUGCAAGCGUUAUUCGGAAUUACUGGGCGUAAAGCGCGUGUAGGCGGUCCUGCAAGUCUGAUGUGAAAGCCCCGGGCUUAACCCGGGAAGUGCAUUGGAAACUGUAGGACUUGAGUACUGGAGAGGAUGGGGGAAUUCCCGGUGUAGAGGUGAAAUUCGUAGAGAUCGGGAGGAAUAUCAGUGGCGAAGGCGCCCAUCUGGACGGUAACUGACGCUGAGACGCGAAAGCGUGGGGAGCAAAC